Molecule: non-coding RNA, 2594 nt
Organism: Sus scrofa (pig)
Lineage: Eukaryota; Metazoa; Chordata; Mammalia; Artiodactyla; Suidae
Source: RefSeq, a predicted model, not a curated record
UGUGGCUGUGGUAUAGGAUGGCAGCUGUAGCUCCAAUUAGACCCCUAGCCUGGGAACCUCCAUAUGCUGUGAGUGCAGGACCCCCAGCCCACCGAAAAAAAAAGACAAAAGAAAAGAAUAAUGAUGAAAGCUAGGAGCUAUCAAAAUUCCAUUGACGUUCCCAUUGUGGCUCAGCAGAUUAAGCACCCGACAUAGUGUCCAUGAGGAUGCAGGUUCAAUCCCUGGCCUCACUCAGUGGGUUAAAGAUACAGCAUUGUGGCAAGCUGCUGUGUAGGCUGCAAAUGCAGCUCGGAUCCCGUGUGGCUGUGGCUGUGGCAUACAUAGGCAGCUGCGUCUCCUUGACCCUUAGCCCAUACAUUUCCAUAUGCCACAGGUGCCACCCCCAAAGUAAAUAAAAUAAAAAUUCCGUUGAUUGGAUGUAAAAAGUAGAGGUUUAGAAUUGUGAAAGACCCAAGAAAUCAUUUAGACUAGUAAUAUGUACCAGAAUCCCUUAUGAAGUAUUGUGAAGCUAUAAUUAUCCAGGCUCUCCCUUCUUGUAUCUACCAAGUCAAAAAUGUCCACAGGUAAUUCCAAUGCAGUAUCUUCUUCACAGGAACCACUGAACGAAUUCAAGUCUUUAGAUUUUAUGGUGAGGAAAUUGAGGCUUAGAAUAAAUAGCUUGCCUAAGACUCCUAGCUUCUUGAUGGUUUUGUUUUGUUUCUCUUGUCCUGAAGAAGAGUUUUAAGUAGUAAGCAGAAACAUAUAAGGCUUCUUGAGGUCGAGACUCCAAACUGACACACUGGCACUUCUGUCUCAUUCUGUUGGCCAGAGCAGGUUAUGUGACCAAGUAAAACUCAAGGGGUAGGGAAACAGAAUUCACCUCUUUAGAGAAAUGACAAAGUGACAUGAAGGGGUGAAGAAGUGGAACCAUUAAUACCAUGGUAGGGAUGACUGGAGCAUGUUUGAAAAGUAUAAAGAAUUUGUAGGAUGAAGAAGAAAAUGAAGAAGAAAGAUCACUACCAUAGGUCAGAGAAUUAACUUUUGAAAAAAGGAACAGUACUUCUGGGAAUGGAAAGAAGGGGCAUUUGACUGAAUUAUAUUUAGCAAAUUAAAAUACAGGAUGUCCAGUAAUUUUUUAAACUUCAGAUAAACAAUGAAUAAGUUUUUAGUAUUAAGUACCUGCAUACAAUCUUUGGUAGGCUCUCAGUACAUAGUUGGCUAUUUUUAUUAGUUUAAAUACUAUUUAAAUAUUUCUAUCAUACAAUAUUUUGGACAUACUUAUCCCAAAAUAUGAUUCCUUUUUAUUUGAAAUUCAGAUGUUACCAGGCAUCCUGUGUCUUAAUCUGACAGCCCUAUUUUGGUUGACUUUUAAAUAAAGCCAUGGUAAGAUAACCUACAAAGGACUAGCAAGGUGCUUUGGGGGAUUUAAUCCUGGAAGAAGUUUGGAACAGCUGCAGUGGAUGCUGUGCACUGCCCAAGAGAGGACUGCCAAGCAGCAGGGAAGGCCCACUGACCAAGAGGCAGCACAACUCUUCAUUGCAUCAGCAGUGGUACUUCACUGCUGGGUGCAGAAGUGGGACGAAGGUGGCAGGUACAGGUGACCACCUUGGUUUGACUGUGUAGGAGAGGCCUGGGAAGGAGUUUGGGCAUAGUUGAAAUGACUAGGGGGUCCAGGUUGUACAGGAAAACAGGUGAAACCAGAAGGAAUUGGGAGGCAAAGGUAAAAGUGAGUCAAAGAGGUGGAAGUUCCCAGAGAAGUAGAAUUUACAGUCUUGGAAGAAUAGUUCUGUGAUAAUGGGGUUAAAAAUCCAAUUUCACGAGAGAACUAGAGCUAAAUUAAAAGCAAGAGCUCUGGAGACAAAGUACCUAGUUUUGCAUUCUAGUUGUAUGAUUUUGGUCAAAUAAUUAAACUUCCCUAUGACUUAGUUUUUUUUUUUUCUUUUGUAAAUCAUGAAUAAUAAUGGAUCUCAUAACCUCGUAGGGUUAUUGUGAGAAUUAAGUGAAAUAAACUACAUGAAGGUACCUAGAACAGUAUGUCUGGUGUUUGCUAUGUUUUAUUAUUUAUAUACCACUUGCAUGUAUCUAUAAUCAAUAAAUGUGAGUGCAUUAAAGAAUAUUGUUUGAAAGAAAAAAGGCACAUGUACAGUGUAUGUUCUGCCUUAGCUAACAAAUGCUAGGUUUGGUAAAUACCAUUAGCUACUUGUUUAAGUUGGAGCUCAAAGAGCCUUUACCACUUAAGGUUGUUUUCUUUACUGUUAUUAUAAGAAAAUAAUUGUCAUGCUCAAGUCAUAUCUGUCUCCUCACUUCCCCCUAGGUGACCAUGCUUUGGGAUUUUCAUAGUUUGAGUAAUUCCUCCGGGCUCUGCCACCCAGCAAGUUAAAGAGGACAAGAUUCCUCACUGGGGGUUGUGGUUCUGGGAAUGUGAGCAGCUUGUUUUCAUGAAUUCUGCACCCUGACCUGGCCUACUGUUAGGAGCUGUUGUGUUGGUAGUGGCGGUGUUUUUAGUUAUUUCCUCCACCUUCCACAGUUACUUGUAUAUAAAGAUUUUUGAAAAGUGAAUGUUUUAUGGGGAUGUUUUGCUUAUGCAACGAAAAAUUAAAACUGUUUCAAAGUAA